This 805-nucleotide ribosomal RNA is filed under the name uncultured bacterium. Its description in RNAcentral is "bacterial SSU rRNA". It matches the Rfam family "Bacterial small subunit ribosomal RNA", at positions 8 to 796 of the family's 1533-position model. The record is from RNAcentral.
AGAGUUUGAUCAUGGCUCAGAGUGAACGCUGGCGGCGUGCCUAACACAUGCAAGUCGAGCGAGGUACUAACGGUAGCAAUACUGGAUAGGCCUAGCGGCAGACGGGUGAGUAACACGUAGGGAACCUUCCUCUUAGCGGGGGAUAGCCAGUCGAAAGAUUGGGUAAUACCGCGUACGAUUCGUUGAUGGCAUCAUUGACGAAUGAAACAUCCGCAAGGAUGACUGAGAGAGGGCCCUGCGGCCUAUCAGCUAGUUGGUGAGGUAACGGCUCACCAAGGCUACGACGGGUAUCCGGCCUGAAAGGGCGAACGGACACACUGACACUGAGACACGGGUCAGACACCUACGGGUGGCAGCAGUGAGGAAUCUUGGACAAUGGGGGCAACCCUGAUCCAGCGACGCCGCGUGGAGGACGAAGGUCUUCGGAUUGUAAACUCCUUUUGUUCGGGAAUAAGAAAUCUGUGGAAACACGGAGAGUGAAUGUACCGGAUGAAUAAGCCACGGCUAACUUCGUGCCAGCAGCCGCGGUAAUACGAAGGUGGCAAGCGUUACUCGGAAUUACUAGGCGUAAAGGGCAGGUAGGUGGUUUGGUAAGUCUGUUGUGCAAGCUCCCGGCUUAACUGGGAGAGGUCAACAGAAACUACCAGGCUUGAGUAUAGGAGAGGGUACUGGAAUUCCCGGUGUAGCGGUGAAAAUGCGCAGAGAUCGGGAGGAACACCAAUGGCGAAAGCAGGUACCUGGACUAUUACUGACACUAAGCUGCGAAAGCUAGGGGAGCAAACAGGAUUAGAUACCCCCGUAGUCC